Molecule: long non-coding RNA, 1209 nt
Filed under: Homo sapiens (human)
Lineage: Eukaryota; Metazoa; Chordata; Mammalia; Primates; Hominidae
Description: HSALNT0409619
Source: RNAcentral
CUUCUUUUUGCAGGAUAUAGAAGACUUAGAUCACUAUGAGAUGAAAGAAGAGCCUACUAGUGAGAAGAAGUUGGAAGAUGAAGGAACUGAAAAAGAAAAUUGGGCAAUAUUAGAGAAAAUUAGGAAGACUGAAAGGCAAGGCCAUUUAAAUGUGCUGCAGUGUCUGGGUCAGUGCAAGCUUCAGAUAGACUUAAGAAAGAUUUCAGGGACUUAUACAGAUCACAGAGUUAUAAGACAGGUUGACCCUGAUAGUCCUUUACACAGUGAUCUUCAGAUCUUAAAAGAAGAAGAAGAGAUAGGAGACAUUUUGCUUAUGUUUUAAGUGUUCCUGACAACAUCUCAGAGGAUGGUGUCUUCUGGCUUACUCUGGGAAAUGCUGCUCUGUGAGAAAUCUGAAGUUCUGAGUGAUCCCCAUGCAUUUUCUGCUGCAGAGCAGGACAUACUGAAGUGAUUCCUUCAUGAGCAGAUGUCAGAGGUCUCCCUUUGUCAGCUUGUUACAAAGUUGAUCACAAAUAUACUAUUACGGGGAGUGGAAGUCCCAGGUUGGGUGUGAAGCAGAGUUGUUUAGAAUUGUGUACUAUUUUGUUAACUUUAAAUCUUCUCUAGGCUGUUUUGGUUUUGGCAGUAAAAUUGCUAUAAAAAGUACUUCUCUUGGCAUACAACCUAAUGGUCAAUUUUGGAAGUUCAGUGUUAGGUAACCCAGCCAAAUACUUAUGUAUACAAAAUAAACAGAAGACUGAAAAAUAGUAAAUGUUUAAACUUUGUGUCUCUUGCUCACUACAGCGGCCUAUAACUAGCCACCAAGCCAUAGUUCUUUUGUUUGUCAUAGUUGAAUUUCAAAAUGUCUUUGUAAUGAAGCCCUUCCUGAUUGGGGAGAAAGGACAUAAGUAUUGUGCUUUAGUUUUAUGUGCUGGUUUAUAAAAUUGUGUAUGUUGACUCAAUAUCCCCAUAAGCAUAGGGAAAGGAAAACAGGUCAUUUUUUGUUCAGAAUCUUAUUUGAGAAAAAAAAAAUGAUCAAAGAAAAGAUUUGCAUAAAAAUCUGCAAAUUCAGGAUAAAUGUAUGAAAACAUUUUAAAAUGUGAUUAUAAAAUAGACCAGUAUAGCUUUUCAACAUUUGGUUGUAAGAAUCCCAAGAAUGUAAGUUUAUGAUCUUAGUAUACCACCUAGAAUCGAGACGAAUACAUGAGGUUAUGAAUCAUGCCAUUUUCA